Molecule: ribosomal RNA, 495 nt
Filed under: Triticum aestivum (bread wheat)
Lineage: Eukaryota; Viridiplantae; Streptophyta; Magnoliopsida; Poales; Poaceae
Description: partial small subunit ribosomal RNA
Source: RNAcentral
AUGGACCGAGAACACAAGGGCCUGCCGGCCCAUACGGCCUUACAGGCGGCCCAGCCCCACCGCCUGGAGUGGAUAAGGCAGGGGGAGACCUCGGGAGCAACCGCUCCUCCGAUCCCCGCUGCCGGCGGCCGUCUCAUCAGCGAGGAGCGGGAAAACCCGGCGAGUCGUCAUCUCCGCUGCAGGGAACCACGCCGGAGGGCCAGCCGAGGGCUGUUCCUCGGGCGCCGCCUGCGCGGAUGCGAGCCGAGGGCCGCGUCGCCGUCGCCGCUGCGGGGAGCCACGCCGGAGGGCGCCGCCGCGUUGCCCAGCCACAGUUCGGAAGACCAAGAGCGUGCUAGAGGGCGCGUGGCCUGGCGGCAGGGCGGCCGGCGUAGCGCGGCGCACGGCCGGGCGCGGGGCUCGGCAUGGCGGCCGGGAUUGGGGUGCGGCGUGGCGCGGUGCAGGCGCCACGGGCGGGGCGCGGCCACAGCCUGGAGCGGGAGUGGGCGGGCUUGA